GACUCCGUUUUCCAGCCUAAAAGUCAUCUAAGAAGAAGAUAAUCAGUGAUUAAUUAGCCGUAAUUCAUUACCUAUUAUUUAGUUCUUCACGUUUUGAUUAGAAGUCCUACUUUGAGACAUGUUUUUAAUGAUAUUGCAUCUACUAUUUCUGCAGUCAGAGCAAAGCAUAAAAUAAGGGGCUCCUUAUAGGAACAAACAUGAGUUCACAUGCAGCCUCUUUUUUUUUCUUAAAGAACAAUAAAUAAAAAAAGAAGCAAUUGAAAAUGACUAUUAUUCAGACUGGAGGACAUUUAGAGCAAAAUUGAGGAAAUGCUUUUUGUUGUUUUGUUUUCAUCAUUUAACCUGAAUCUAUUAGAAAAAAUGUAAAGAUGCAUAAUGUUUCCACUAUUAUGAAUAAUUCCUGUUGAGGCAGAGCUACUGCCGGCCUCACCUUAUGUUUUUCAGUGCAAAUAUGUCAGACCAAACACAAGGGACUAGUAAUAAAAAUGUCUACAAUGUAGACUUUUUAUAAAUUAACCAUUACCUUAUUAAUAAAUGCUGAGUAUGUUAAAGGCAUCCAUUCAACCAAGUUUGCAUUGGAUUCCACCAUCUAAUGUGAGGCUGGGCACAUUUUCAGUCAGUCUGACACUAAAGGAAAGCUAAUUACUGUUGCAAUAUUUUCUAAUUUUGCUUCCCUUUUCUUUUCAAACUUACUGUGCUUUGGAAAUUGCGUCAACCACCAUUAAUCAAAGUCUGGCUACGAGACAGUCUUUCUGUGUUGGGUACUUCUGACAAAUUGGAUUCUCUCUGGAAUCCACUUCUACGUACCUGGCCAAAAACAUCCUUAACAAAAUCCAUAACAGAGCUAUCCACCAUCUUGCCUGCCUAUUCCACCAGCACGCCACAAGUCCUAAGUAACCUGGGAGAGUAUUUGAAUUGAUCCGCCUUGACACUAUACCUUGGGUGGGUGCUGGCGGUGUUCAUCUGUUCAGUGGAUGCAUAUGCUUUAAAAAAUGAAUGAUAAUAUUGUUUUGUAUAAUAACUUAUGUAUUGAGACUUUAAUUUGAUAAAUAAAAACUAUUCAAAAAAGAUGAUCAGUGUGGGACUUACAUGUUAAAGAUGCAGACCCCAAAACAUUAAUUCAUAUUCUCCAACUUUUUAUUGACUUUGGAUCUUUACAAACAACUUG
Molecule: long non-coding RNA, 1168 nt
Filed under: Oryzias sinensis (Chinese medaka)
Lineage: Eukaryota; Metazoa; Chordata; Actinopteri; Beloniformes; Adrianichthyidae
Description: lncRNA (ENSOSIG00000011429.1)
Source: RNAcentral